Molecule: transfer RNA, 77 nt
Filed under: bacterium
Lineage: Bacteria
Description: tRNA-Arg
Rfam family: tRNA
About the family: Transfer RNA (tRNA) molecules are approximately 80 nucleotides in length. Their secondary structure includes four short double-helical elements and three loops (D, anti-codon, and T loops).
Source: RNAcentral
GCGCCAGUAGCUCAGUUGGAUAGAGUAUCAGACUACGAAUCUGAGGGUCAGAGGUUCGACUCCUCUCUGGCGCGCCA